AAUUGGAUUGAGAACAAUGUACAACUCUUAUCGAUAAGCCAUUGGAGGGCAAGUCUGGUGCCAGCAGCCGCGGUAAUUCCAGCUCCAAUAGCGUAUAUUAACGUUGUUGCAGUUAAAAAGCUCGUAGUUGAAGUGUGGGUGGUGCCUACUUCCAGACUUCGGUUUAGGAGUGGAUCACUACCCCCUUCCAGUAUCCAGUAGUGGGUAUUCAGUUACUUACUAUUGUGUGUUGGUCAUUUACUGUGAGAAAAUUAGAGUGUUCAAAGCAGGCGUUUGCUUGAAUAGAUUAGCAUGGAAUAAUAAUUGAAGGCUUUCGUGUUCGAUUUGAUUGGUUUGUUCAUGGAAGCAAGGUUAAAAGGAACAGUUGGGGGUAUUCAUAUUCACUAGUUAGAGGUGAAAUUCUCGGAUUUAUGGAAGAUGAACAAGUGCGAAAGCAA
RNAcentral lists this ribosomal RNA (437 nucleotides) under Blastocystis sp. RNAcentral describes it as "SSU rRNA". It matches the Rfam family "Eukaryotic small subunit ribosomal RNA", at positions 507 to 954 of the family's 1831-position model. Lineage: Eukaryota; Bigyra; Opalinata; Blastocystidae. The record is from RNAcentral.